RNAcentral lists this ribosomal RNA (2550 nucleotides) under Staphylococcus aureus. RNAcentral describes it as "partial 23S ribosomal RNA". It matches the Rfam family "Bacterial large subunit ribosomal RNA", at positions 245 to 2797 of the family's 2925-position model. Lineage: Bacteria; Bacillati; Bacillota; Bacilli; Caryophanales; Staphylococcaceae. The record is from RNAcentral.
AGCGGCGAGCGAAACGGGAAGAGCCCAAACCAACAAGCUUGCUUGUUGGGGUUGUAGGACACUCUAUACGGAGUUACAAAGGACGACAUUAGACGAAUCAUCUGGAAAGAUGAAUCAAAGAAGGUAAUAAUCCUGUAGUCGAAAAUGUUGUCUCUCUUGAGUGGAUCCUGAGUACGACGGAGCACGUGAAAUUCCGUCGGAAUCUGGGAGGACCAUCUCCUAAGGCUAAAUACUCUCUAGUGACCGAUAGUGAACCAGUACCGUGAGGGAAAGGUGAAAAGCACCCCGGAAGGGGGUGAAAUAGAACCUGAAACCGUGUGCUUACAAGUAGUCAGAGCCCGUUAAUGGGUGAUGGCGUGCCUUUUGUAGAAUGAACCGGCGAGUUACGAUUUGAUGCAAGGUUAAGCAGUAAAUGUGGAGCCGUAGCGAAAGCGAGUCUGAAUAGGGCGUUUAGUAUUUGGUCGUAGACCCGAAACCAGGUGAUCUACCCUUGGUCAGGUUGAAGUUCAGGUAACACUGAAUGGAGGACCGAACCGACUUACGUUGAAAAGUGAGCGGAUGAACUGAGGGUAGCGGAGAAAUUCCAAUCGAACCUGGAGAUAGCUGGUUCUCUCCGAAAUAGCUUUAGGGCUAGCCUCAAGUGAUGAUUAUUGGAGGUAGAGCACUGUUUGGACGAGGGGCCCCUCUCGGGUUACCGAAUUCAGACAAACUCCGAAUGCCAAUUAAUUUAACUUGGGAGUCAGAACAUGGGUGAUAAGGUCCGUGUUCGAAAGGGAAACAGCCCAGACCACCAGCUAAGGUCCCAAAAUAUAUGUUAAGUGGAAAAGGAUGUGGCGUUGCCCAGACAACUAGGAUGUUGGCUUAGAAGCAGCCAUCAUUUAAAGAGUGCGUAAUAGCUCACUAGUCGAGUGACACUGCGCCGAAAAUGUACCGGGGCUAAACAUAUUACCGAAGCUGUGGAUUGUCCUUUGGACAAUGGUAGGAGAGCGUUCUAAGGGCGUUGAAGCAUGAUCGUAAGGACAUGUGGAGCGCUUAGAAGUGAGAAUGCCGGUGUGAGUAGCGAAAGACGGGUGAGAAUCCCGUCCACCGAUUGACUAAGGUUUCCAGAGGAAGGCUCGUCCGCUCUGGGUUAGUCGGGUCCUAAGCUGAGGCCGACAGGCGUAGGCGAUGGAUAACAGGUUGAUAUUCCUGUACCACCUAUAAUCGUUUUAAUCGAGGGGGGGCGCAGUAGGAUAGGCGAAGCGUGCGAUUGGAUUGCACGUCUAAGCAGUAAGGCUGAGUAUUAGGCAAAUCCGGUACUCGUUAAGGCUGAGCUGUGAUGGGGAGAAGACAGUGAGUCUUCGAGUCGUUGAUUUCACACUGCCGAGAAAAGCCUCUAGAUAGAAAAUAGGUGCCCGUACCGCAAACCGACACAGGUAGUCAAGAUGAGAAUUCUAAGGUGAGCGAGCGAACUCUCGUUAAGGAACUCGGCAAAAUGACCCCGUAACUUCGGGAGAAGGGGUGCUCUUUAGGGUUAACGCCCAGAAGAGCCGCAGUGAAUAGGCCCAAGCGACUGUUUAUCAAAAACACAGGUCUCUGCUAAACCGUAAGGUGAUGUAUAGGGGCUGACGCCUGCCCGGUGCUGGAAGGUUAAGAGGAGUGGUUAGCUUCUGCGAAGCUACGAAUCGAAGCCCCAGUAAACGGCGGCCGUAACUAUAACGGUCCUAAGGUAGCGAAAUUCCUUGUCGGGUAAGUUCCGACCCGCACGAAAGGCGUAACGAUUUGGGCACUGUCUCAACGAGAGACUCGGUGAAAUCAUAGUACCUGUGAAGAUGCAGGUUACCCGCGACAGGACGGAAAGACCCCGUGGAGCUUUACUGUAGCCUGAUAUUGAAAUUCGGCACAGCUUGUACAGGAUAGGUAGGAGCCUUUGAAACGUGAGCGCUAGCUUACGUGGAGGCGCUGGUGGGAUACUACCCUAGCUGUGUUGGCUUUCUAACCCGCACCACUUAUCGUGGUGGGAGACAGUGUCAGGCGGGCAGUUUGACUGGGGCGGUCGCCUCCUAAAAGGUAACGGAGGCGCUCAAAGGUUCCCUCAGAAUGGUUGGAAAUCAUUCAUAGAGUGUAAAGGCAUAAGGGAGCUUGACUGCGAGACCUACAAGUCGAGCAGGGUCGAAAGACGGACUUAGUGAUCCGGUGGUUCCGCAUGGAAGGGCCAUCGCUCAACGGAUAAAAGCUACCCCGGGGAUAACAGGCUUAUCUCCCCCAAGAGUUCACAUCGACGGGGAGGUUUGGCACCUCGAUGUCGGCUCAUCGCAUCCUGGGGCUGUAGUCGGUCCCAAGGGUUGGGCUGUUCGCCCAUUAAAGCGGUACGCGAGCUGGGUUCAGAACGUCGUGAGACAGUUCGGUCCCUAUCCGUCGUGGGCGUAGGAAAUUUGAGAGGAGCUGUCCUUAGUACGAGAGGACCGGGAUGGACAUACCUCUGGUGUACCAGUUGUCGUGCCAACGGCAUAGCUGGGUAGCUAUGUGUGGACGGGAUAAGUGCUGAAAGCAUCUAAGCAUGAAGCCCCC